Molecule: long non-coding RNA, 744 nt
Filed under: Olea europaea subsp. europaea
Lineage: Eukaryota; Viridiplantae; Streptophyta; Magnoliopsida; Lamiales; Oleaceae
Source: RNAcentral
GCCCUCUACUUUAUGAGAGAUUUAAGUUGAAUUCGAGUAUCAAUUGGUCUAGGAUGAGAGGGUAGAUGUUUUCCUAAAGCGGACAGUACAUAUAAUAUAGCAAUUUGGACAUAGAGAUCGAAUCGUUACGAAAAAGCACAACUUUUUUAUAACAACCUAGCUUUUAAGUCGAUAUGUCAUAUGUAUUAUCCUCUUUAGGAGCUCAUCUGUCCUCUUACCCUUGAUAAAUUUCUAUCGCAUUGCGUAGGAUUUGAACCCAAGACCUUUACUUUAUGAGAGAUUUAAGUUGAAUCCUAAUACCAACUGGUAAUUAGUACUAUGCCCUUUCAAAGCGGACAUUAUGUAUGAUAUAACGGUUUGGGCAUUGAGGUUGGGUAGUUACAAAAAAAUACGCUUUUAUUUGUAACCAUCCAACUUCUAUUCCCAUUGCCCAAGCGAUAUGGAAAGUCAUGAGGGAGAGGAAAAAUGCUAACCUAAAGUGGAAGAUACCUAUGAUAAAUCAGUUUGAGCACAGAGCCCGGGUCUUUACAUAUAUUUUAUUUCCUUAGGCCUUUGAUAAAUUUUCUCUCUAUCUCGGCGUUCUUCUCGCACCUUCAUGAUUGGACAAGCACAAUUAUGCAGCUACAGAUCUUCUCAGUUUGACAAUCAACCUUUUUUAUUUCAUAAAACGUGUUCUUAGGAUUUGGGUUAGCUUUUAAUUGAAUGUGGGGGUCUCAAAGUGAUGAUUGUUUCCAUGGAGAGAGG